RNAcentral lists this ribosomal RNA (253 nucleotides) under uncultured bacterium. RNAcentral describes it as "partial 16S ribosomal RNA". It matches the Rfam family "Bacterial small subunit ribosomal RNA", at positions 524 to 776 of the family's 1533-position model. The record is from RNAcentral.
GACAGAGGGUGCAAACGUUGUUCGGAAUUACUGGGCGUAAAGCGCGUGUAGGCUGCUCGGAAAGUCGGAUGUGAAAGCCCUGGGCUCAACCUAGGAAGUGCAUUCGAAACUUCCGAGCUGGAGUGCUGGAGAGGAAGGCGGAAUUCUCGGUGUAGAGGUGAAAUUCGUAGAUAUCAAGCGGAACACCGGUGGCGAAGGCGGCCUUCUGGACGAGUACUGACGCUGAGACGCGAAAGCGUGGGUAGCAAACAGG